GACCAAUGAUGUAAAAGUUUGACUGCAGACCUUUUUAACUAUGAAAGUUGCUACACUUGAUCUGAGCUCA
Molecule: small nucleolar RNA, 70 nt
Organism: Bison bison bison
Lineage: Eukaryota; Metazoa; Chordata; Mammalia; Artiodactyla; Bovidae
Source: Ensembl